Molecule: non-coding RNA, 278 nt
Organism: Cinara cedri
Lineage: Eukaryota; Metazoa; Arthropoda; Insecta; Hemiptera; Aphididae
Source: the annotation of a GenBank genome assembly
AACGAAAUACGAUAUUCGCAUUUAGAUCGUAUUCGCGUCGCGUUAAAAACCAGAAAUUCAGGUCAGUGCACAAAAACACGCGCGGACACAAACGCGAGCAUGGGAUAUUAUUAAACGGAAAAAAAAAAAAAAAAAUUUCCAAAAGGAGAUUAAAUCGAACACUUAUAAUGGAAUUUCACCGGCAAUAGAACACACGUCUACGGGAAAACGUACGCACACAAUUAUGUGUGUAUCCCAUUACGACGGAUUUUGAUUCAAGUAGCGGUGGUGGUGGCAGA